AAUGGACGGCUGAGAUCAAAAGGCAAAAGGGUAUAAAUAAGACCCCCACACCAGACCCCAAACCCUAGCCGCCUGCCCUCGCCUGAGAAGACGAACCAGAAGCCGGCCGCCGCCACCCGCCGCCGCACCGGAGGGAUUUUCGACCGCCGAUCGAGGUAAAUUUCAUACCCCUGACUCGUUUUUCCACGCUGAUUUCCCCAGUGGCCAAAUCGGAGCCAAAAUCCCGGCCAAACGGCCGAAAGCCAGCAGCGCCGCCGCGCCCCUUCUCGGUUUUUGCCUCCGAUGAGGCCCUUCCCGGCCUCCGUUUAAUGCAAUUUUUAUACCACCGUGAUCACCAUUCUUUUCUCUACAGGUUGAUCGGAGCCGAAUCACCAAAAUACGAACUUCGCCGGAGAGCCGCCGCACCCGAGAGCACCGCCGCCGGUAGGCUUCAGUUUUCUGUAAAUUUUUGGCCCC
Molecule: long non-coding RNA, 456 nt
Filed under: Carica papaya (papaya)
Lineage: Eukaryota; Viridiplantae; Streptophyta; Magnoliopsida; Brassicales; Caricaceae
Description: long non-coding RNA (CPAP_LNC005725)
Source: RNAcentral